This 253-nucleotide ribosomal RNA is filed under the name uncultured bacterium. Its description in RNAcentral is "partial 16S ribosomal RNA". It matches the Rfam family "Bacterial small subunit ribosomal RNA", at positions 524 to 776 of the family's 1533-position model. The record is from RNAcentral.
UACAGAGGCCUCGAGCGUUAGGCGGAAUCAUUGGGCUUAAAGCGCGUGUAGGCGGUCCGGUAAGUCCGCUGUGAAAGUCGGGGGCUCAACCCUCGGAUGCCGGUGGAUACUGUCGGGCUUGAGUACGGAAGAGGCGAGUGGAAUUCCUGGUGUAGCGGUGAAAUGCGCAGAUAUCAGGAGGAACACCAAUUGCGAAGGCAGCUCGCUGGGACGUUACUGACGCUGAGACGCGAAAGCGUGGGGAGCAAACAGG